UGGAAUUGCUAGUAAUGGCAGGUCAGCAUACUGCCGUGAAUACGUUCCCGGGCCUUGUACACACCGCCCGUCACACCAUGAGAGUUGGGAAUACCCGAAGCCUGUGAGCUAACUUAUAGAGGCAGCAGUCGAAGGUAGAAUCAAUGAUUGGGGUGAAGUCGUAACAAGGUAGC
This 173-nucleotide ribosomal RNA is filed under the name uncultured bacterium. RNAcentral's name for it is "partial 16S ribosomal RNA". It matches the Rfam family "Bacterial small subunit ribosomal RNA", at positions 1327 to 1500 of the family's 1533-position model. The record is from RNAcentral.